RNAcentral lists this ribosomal RNA (774 nucleotides) under uncultured bacterium. RNAcentral describes it as "bacterial SSU rRNA". It matches the Rfam family "Bacterial small subunit ribosomal RNA", at positions 8 to 796 of the family's 1533-position model. The record is from RNAcentral.
AGAGUUUGAUCCUGGCUCAGAAUCAACGCUGGCGGCGUGCCUCAGACAUGCAAGUCGAACGAUUAAAGCUCUCUUCGGAGAGUGCAUAGAGUGGCGCACGGGUGAGUAACACGUAAGUAAUCUACCUUCGAGUGGGGAAUAACGUCCGGAAACGGACGCUAAUACCGCAUAAUGCAGCGGCAUCGCAAGAUGACAGUUGUUAAAGAUUUAUCGCUUGAAGAGGAGCUUGCGGCAGAUUAGCUAGUUGGUAAGGUAAUGGCUUACCAAGGCUACGAUCUGUAACCGGUCUAAGAGGACGGUCGGUCACACUGACACUGAAUAACGGGUCAGACUCCUACGGGAGGCAGCAGUCGGGAAUUUUGGGCAAUGGGCGAAAGCCUGACCCAGCAACGCCGCGUGAAGGAUGAAGUAUUUCGGUAUGUAAACUUCGAAAGAAUAGGAAGAAUUAAUGACGGUACUAUUUAUAAGGUCCGGCUAACUACGUGCCAGCAGCCGCGGUAAUACGUAGGGACCAAGCGUUGUUCGGAUUUACUGGGCGUAAAGGGCGCGUAGGCGGCAAUUCAAGUCAUCUGUGAAAUCUCCGGGCUUAACUCGGAACGGUCAGAUGAUACUGCUUUGCUAGAGUGCGGAAGGGGCAAUCAGAAUUCUUGGUGUAGCGGUGAAAUGCGUAGAUAUCAAGAGGAAUACCUGAGGUGAAGACGGGUUGCUAGGCCGACACUGACGCUGAAGCGCGAAAGCCAGGGGAGCAAACGGGAUUAGAUACCCCCGUAGUCC